AGUGAACGCUGGCGGUAGGCCUAACACAUGCAAGUCGAACGGCAGCACAGUAAGAGCUUGCUCUUACGGGUGGCGAGUGGCGGACGGGUGAGGAAUACAUCGGAAUCUACUUUUUCGUGGGGGAUAACGUAGGGGAACUUACGCUAAUACCGCAUACGACCUACGGGUGAAAGCAGGGGAUCUUCGGACCUUGCGCGAAUGAAUGAGCCGAUGUCGGAUUAGCUGGUUGGCGGGGUAAAGGCCCACCAAGGCGACGAUCGGUAGCUAGUCUGAGAGGCGGUUGAGCGACACAGGAAGUGAGAGACGAUCUAGGCUCCGACGUGAGGCAGCAGUGGGGAAUAUUGGACAGAGGGGGGAAGCCUGAUCCAGCCAUAGCGCGUUGAUGAAGAAGGCCCGCGGGUUGGAAAGCCCUUUUGUUGGGAAAGAAAACCAGCAGGUUAAUACCCCGCUGUUCUGACGGUACCCGAAGAAUAAGCACCGGCUAAUAUCGU
This 491-nucleotide ribosomal RNA is filed under the name uncultured bacterium. RNAcentral's name for it is "partial 16S ribosomal RNA". It matches the Rfam family "Bacterial small subunit ribosomal RNA", at positions 29 to 506 of the family's 1533-position model. The record is from RNAcentral.